This 680-nucleotide ribosomal RNA is filed under the name Fusarium oxysporum f. sp. batatas. RNAcentral's name for it is "SSU rRNA". It matches the Rfam family "Bacterial small subunit ribosomal RNA", at positions 291 to 937 of the family's 1533-position model. The record is from RNAcentral. Lineage: Eukaryota; Fungi; Ascomycota; Sordariomycetes; Hypocreales; Nectriaceae.
GCCUAACGGCUGAACUGGCAACUUGGAGAAGUGGCAAGUCUUCCAGUAUGGGGAGCAAAACAGCUAUGGGUCAAGUCCGAUAUCUUUAGGAGAAGUCUUAUUGUGAGGGCGAGUUAUAUAACACCAUAGGACUGGCCGUCCCAUAUGAAAAGAUUAUAUUAGAAUUGAAUGAAGCUUUGUUUAUAUAUUGAUAAUGACAGUAUAUAUAUCGUGUCUUGACUAAUUGCGUGCCAGCAGUCGCGGUAAUACGUAAGAGACUAGUGUUAUUCAUCUUAAUUAGGUUUAAAGGGUACCCAGACGGUCAAUAUAGCUUAUAAAAUGUUAGUACUUGACUAGAGUUUUAUGUAAGAGGGCAGUACUUGAGGAGGAGAGAUGAAAUUUCGUGAUACCAAAGGGACUCUGUAAAGGCGAAGGCAGCCCUCUAUGUAAAAACUGACGUUGAAGGACGAAGGCACAGAGAACAAACAGGAUUAGAUACCCAAGUAGUCUUUGCAGUAAAUGAUGAAUGCCAUAGGUUAGAUUGGUCAAUUAUAGUCUAGGGUUAGUCUAGCAAACUAAUGCCCUAUGAUAUAAUUCCAAAUAUCUGGUCUAUAAAUGAAAGUGUAAGCAUUUCACCUCAAGAGUAAUGUGGCAACGCAGGAACUGAAAUCACUAGACCGUUUCUGACACCAGUAGUGAAG